CGAAUGCGAUAAGUAAUGUGAAUUGCAGAAUUCAGUGACAUCAUCGAAUCUUUGAACGCACCUUGCGCUCCUUGGUAUUCCGAGGAGCAUGCCUGUUUGAGUGUCAUGAAAUUCUCAAACCCAUAAGUCUUUGCGGGCUUACGGGCUUUGGACUUGGAGGCUUGUCGGCGACCGUGAGGUCACAUCGACUCCUCUCAAAUGCAUUAGCUUGAUUCCUUGCGGAUCGGCUCUCGGUGUGAUAAUUGUCUACACCGUGACCGUGAAGCGUUUUGGCAAGCUUCUAACCGUCUCUAACGAGACAGCUUACUUUGACCUCUGACCUCAAAUCAGGUAGGACUACCCGCUGAACUUAAGCAUAUCAAUAAGCGGAGG
This 372-nucleotide ribosomal RNA is filed under the name Coriolopsis trogii. RNAcentral describes it as "eukaryotic LSU rRNA". The stretch from base 1 to 106 matches the Rfam family "5.8S ribosomal RNA", at positions 50 to 154 of the family's 154-position model. The record is from RNAcentral. Lineage: Eukaryota; Fungi; Basidiomycota; Agaricomycetes; Polyporales; Polyporaceae.